GAUGAACGCUGGCGGCGUGCCUAAUACAUGCAAGUCGAGCGAACGGACGAGAAGCUUGCUUCUCUGAUGUUAGCGGCGGACGGGUGAGUAACACGUGGAUAACCUACCUAUAAGACUGGGAUAACUUCGGGAAACCGGAGCUAAUACCGGAUAAUAUUUUGAACCGCAUGGUUCAAAAGUAAAAGACGGUCUUGCUGUCACUUAUAGAUGGAUCCGCGCUGCAUUAGCUAGUUGGUAAGGUAACGGCUUACCAAGGCAACGAUGCAUAGCCGACCUGAGAGGGUGAUCGGCCACACUGGAACUGAGACGCGGUCCAGACGCCUACGGGAGGCAGCAGUAGGGAAUCUUCCGCAAUGGGCGAAAGCCUGACGGAGCAACGCCGCGUGAGUGAUGAAGGUCUUCGGAUCGUAAAACUCUGUUAUUAGGGAAGAACAUAUGUGUAAGUAACUGUGCACAUCUGGACGGUACCUAGUCAGAAAGCCACGGCUAACUACGU
This 496-nucleotide ribosomal RNA is filed under the name uncultured bacterium. RNAcentral describes it as "partial 16S ribosomal RNA". It matches the Rfam family "Bacterial small subunit ribosomal RNA", at positions 28 to 506 of the family's 1533-position model. The record is from RNAcentral.